This 445-nucleotide ribosomal RNA is filed under the name uncultured bacterium. RNAcentral's name for it is "partial 16S ribosomal RNA". It matches the Rfam family "Bacterial small subunit ribosomal RNA", at positions 354 to 796 of the family's 1533-position model. The record is from RNAcentral.
GUGAGGAAUAUUGCGCAAUGGAGGCAACUCUGACGCAGCCAUGCCGCGUGCAGGAAGAAGGCGCUACGCGUUGUAAACUGCUUUUAACCGGGAAGAAACCCCAGGACGUGUCCUGGGUUGACGGUACCGGAGGAAUAAGCACCGGCUAACUUCGUGCCAGCAGCCGCGGUAAUACGAAGGGUGCAAGCGUUAUCCGGAUUCAUUGGGUUUAAAGGGUGCGUAGGCGGAGCGUUAAGUCAGAGGUGAAAUCCUGCAGCUUAACUGUAGACUUGCCAUUGAUACUGGCGCUCUUGAGUGCGCUUGAAGUGGGCGGAAUGUGCCGUGUAGCGGUGAAAUGCUUAGAUAUGGCACAGAACACCAAUUGCGAAGGCAGCUCACUAAGGCGAUACUGACGCUGAGACACGAAAGCGUGGGGAUCGAACAGGAUUAGAAACCCGAGUAGUCC